RNAcentral lists this ribosomal RNA (331 nucleotides) under uncultured Bacillus sp. Its description in RNAcentral is "bacterial SSU rRNA". It matches the Rfam family "Bacterial small subunit ribosomal RNA", at positions 36 to 358 of the family's 1533-position model. Lineage: Bacteria; Bacillati; Bacillota; Bacilli; Caryophanales; Bacillaceae. The record is from RNAcentral.
CUGGCGGCGUUCUAAUACAUGCAAGAAAAGCGAAUCAUCAGGAGCUUGCUCCUGGUGAUUAGCGUUUGCCGGGUGAGUAACACGUGGGCAACCUGCCUGUAAGACUGGGAUAACACCAGGAAACCGGUGCUAAUACCGGAUAAUUCUUUUCCUCUCAUGAGGAAAAGCUGAAAGUCGGUUUCGGCUGACACUUACAGAUGGGCCCGCGGCGCAUUAGCUAGUUGGUGAGGUAACGGCUCACCAAGGCGACGAUGCGUAGCCGACCUGAGAGGGUGAUCGGCCACACUGGGACUGAGACACGGCCCAGACUCCUACGGGAGGCAGCAGUGGG